RNAcentral lists this signal recognition particle RNA (294 nucleotides) under Catagonus wagneri (Chacoan peccary). RNAcentral describes it as "Metazoan signal recognition particle RNA (ENSCWAG00000019039.1)". It matches the Rfam family "Metazoan signal recognition particle RNA". Rfam says of the family: The signal recognition particle (SRP) is a universally conserved ribonucleoprotein. It is involved in the co-translational targeting of proteins to membranes. The record is from Rfam by way of RNAcentral. Lineage: Eukaryota; Metazoa; Chordata; Mammalia; Artiodactyla; Tayassuidae.
GCUGGGUGGAGUAGCACCACCUCCCAGCAAUUGGGAGGCUGAGGCAGGAGGAUGGCUUGAGUCUAGGAGUUCUGGGCUAUGGUGUGCUAUGCCCAUCAGGUGUCUGUACUAAGUUCAGCAUCUAUAUGGUGACCUGGGAGUGGGGGCAGGGACCACCAGGUUGCCUAAGGAGGGAUGAACCAGCCCAGGUCAGAAAAGGAGCAGGUCAAAUGUCCCAUGCUGAUCAGUAAUGGGAUGGGCCUGUGAAUAACCACUGUAUUCCAGCCUGGGAAACAUGACAAGACCUUGUGUCUU